RNAcentral lists this non-coding RNA (30 nucleotides) under Homo sapiens (human). The record is from RNAcentral. Lineage: Eukaryota; Metazoa; Chordata; Mammalia; Primates; Hominidae.
UGCCAAAGAAAAAAGGCUUGAGGGUCCAGC